RNAcentral lists this unclassified non-coding RNA (323 nucleotides) under soil metagenome. RNAcentral describes it as "partial contains 5.8S ribosomal RNA, internal transcribed spacer 2, and large subunit ribosomal RNA". The stretch from base 1 to 120 matches the Rfam family "5.8S ribosomal RNA", at positions 35 to 154 of the family's 154-position model. The record is from RNAcentral.
GAUGAAGAACGCAGCGAAAUGCGAUAAGUAGUGUGAAUUGCAGAAUUCAGUGAAUCAUCGAAUCUUUGAACGCACAUUGCGCCCCUUGGUAUUCCAUGGGGCAUGCCUGUUCGAGCGUCAUUUGUACCUUCAAGCUUUGCUUGGUGUUGGGUGUUUGUCCUGAGGGACUCGCCUUAAAGUAAUUGGCAGCCAGUGUUUGGUUUUGAAGCGCAGCACAAGUCGCGAUUCAAGGCUACACGCCCGCUUCCACAAGCCUUUUUUCACUUUUGACCUCGGAUCAGGUAGGGAUACCCGCUGAACUUAAGCAUAUCAAUAAGCGGAGA